AGACUUACCUGGCAGGGGCGGUGCCGUGAUCACGAAGGCGGUUUUCCCAGGGCGAGGCUCCUCCCUUGCACUCUGGAUGCGCCAACUCCAGUGAUUUCACCAGAUGCGGGAAACUGCAUAAUUUGUGGUGGGAGGAAUGACGGUGACAAUGACUUGUUCAAACCUCCC
Microtus ochrogaster (prairie vole) is the source of this 168-nucleotide small nuclear RNA. Its record names the gene U1. It matches the Rfam family "U1 spliceosomal RNA". From Rfam's summary of the family: U1 is a small nuclear RNA (snRNA) component of the spliceosome (involved in pre-mRNA splicing). Its 5' end forms complementary base pairs with the 5' splice junction, thus defining the 5' donor site of an intron. There are significant differences in sequence and secondary structure between metazoan and yeast U1 snRNAs, the latter being much longer (568 nucleotides as compared to 164 nucleotides in human). NCBI's taxonomy places the organism in Eukaryota, Metazoa, Chordata, Mammalia, Rodentia, Cricetidae. The record is from Ensembl.